GUUACAGCCGGUACGGACGGGGGGUUAAAACCGCACAAAAAGAGGCUCAGCGUCACUAACCCUUAGGGAAGUGCACGUGGAAACCGUGGCGAGGUGUCACCCCUCACCCACUAGGAUGGAUCCUUUCAGAACAGCAGAAAAUAGCAAGUAUUGGCGAGGGUGCGGCGAAGCUGGAGCCCCGCGCACCGUUGGUGGGGGUGUGAGACGGGGCAGCCGCUGGGAGAGCCGCACUCCACGUGCAGCUGAAUGUCCUGCGACUCGGAAAGGCCACUUCUGGGGAUGCACCCGCAGAACGGAAGGCAGGGCCGUGAGAUGCGCGUGCAGCCCAGGGUCAUCGCAGCGCUGUUGACGAUGAUAAAGCGUGGACCAACCCCAGCGUCCAUGGGGGGAAGAUGGGUGAGCAAAAGGCGGUUUACCCGUGGACCUGGAGGCAGUAGUGAGCACAGUAAGAAAAGGCAGAAAAGAACUGAAUGGCAGAACAGCGAAGGAGGCAUAGAGAAAACAGAUUCGAGAGGAAAAAAGAGACUCUAAGUGUACUGUGUCUAAAAAUGUCAAAGAGGCCAUGGUAUGAUGCUGUCUGUUACAUUUGCCGAUUAUAGCGGUGAGUACAGGAUGUUUGUUAUCUUGCUCUCCUCACUUUCCAGUGUUUUGAGAGAUUUCGUAGUGAGAAAAUAGAUGAAGUACAUCGUGAAAUCUAGAAAAGAAACAGCGAUAGCCUAAAAGGGGAGGGAAAAAUACAAGGG
This 743-nucleotide long non-coding RNA is filed under the name Capra hircus (goat). RNAcentral describes it as "lncRNA (ENSCHIG00000000792.1)". Lineage: Eukaryota; Metazoa; Chordata; Mammalia; Artiodactyla; Bovidae. The record is from RNAcentral.